Molecule: ribosomal RNA, 857 nt
Filed under: uncultured bacterium
Lineage: Bacteria
Description: SSU rRNA
Rfam family: Bacterial small subunit ribosomal RNA
Source: RNAcentral
UACGAGAGUGGCAAGCGUUAUCCGGAAUUAUUGGGCGUAAAGCGUCCGCAGGCGGUCUUGUAAGUCUGUUGUUAAAGCGUGCAGCUUAACUCCAUUUCAGCAAUGGAAACUGUAAGACUAGAGUGUGGUAGGGGCAGAGGGAAUUCCCGGUGUAGCGGUGAAAUGCGUAGAUAUCGGGAAGAACACCAGUGGCGAAGGCGCUCUGCUGGGCCAUAACUGACGCUCAUGGACGAAAGCCAGGGGAGCGAAAGGGAUUAGAUACCCCUGUAGUCCUGGCCGUAAACGAUGAACACUAGGUGGCGGGGGAAUCGACCCCCUCGGUGUCGUAGCCAACGCGUUAAGUGUUCCGCCUGGGGAGUACGCACGCAAGUGUGAAACUCAAAGGAAUUGACGGGGGCCCGCACAAGCGGUGGAGUAUGUGGUUUAAUUCGAUGCAACGCGAAGAACCUUACCAGGGUUUGACAUCCUGCGAAUCUUUUGGAAACAGAAGAGUGCCUUCGGGAACGCAGUGACAGGUGGCGCAUGGCUGUCGUCAGCUCGUGUCGUGAGAUGUUGGGUUAAGUCCCGCAACGAGCGCAACCCACGUCGUUAGUUGCCAGCAUUGAGUUGGGCACUCUAGCGAGACCGCCGGUGAUAAACCGGAGGAAGGUGUGGAUGACGUCAAGUCAUCAUGCCCCUUACAUCCUGGGCUACACACGUACUACAAUGCUACGGACAAAGGGCAGCAAACUCGCGAGAGCUAGCAAAUCCCAUAAACCGUGGCUCAGUUCAGAUCGUAGGCUGCAACUCGCCUACGUGAAGGAGGAAUCGCUAGUAAUCGCAGGUCAGCAUACUGCGGUGAAUACGUUCCCGGGCCU